RNAcentral lists this ribosomal RNA (459 nucleotides) under uncultured bacterium. Its description in RNAcentral is "partial 16S ribosomal RNA". It matches the Rfam family "Bacterial small subunit ribosomal RNA", at positions 338 to 795 of the family's 1533-position model. The record is from RNAcentral.
CCUACGGGGGGCAGCAGUGAGGAAUAUUGGUCAAUGGCCGGAAGGCUGAACCAGCCAAGCCGCGUGAAGGACGAAGGUGCCAAGCAUUUUAAACUUCUUUUGUCAGGGGACAAAAUCAGGCUCAAGAGCCUGACAGAGGGUACUUGAAGAAAAAGCAGCGGCUAACUCCGUGCCAGCAGCCGCGGUAUUCUGGGGGAUUAGAGGGUGUACGGGAUUUAUGGGGUUAAAAGGGUGCGUAGGCGGACUGUUAGGUCAGCGGUAAAAGCCCGGGGCUCAACCCCGUUGAGCCGUUGAAACUGGCUGUCUUGAGAUGUCGAGAGGUAUGCGGAAUUCGCAGUGUAGCGGUGAAAUGCUUAGAUAUUGCGCAGAACUCCGAUUGCGAAGGCAGCAUACCGGCGGCGAUCUGACGCUGAGGCACGAAAGCGUGGGUAUCGAACAGGAUUAGAUACCCGGGUAGUC